GGAGGCUGAUUCUAGUGAUGGAUUCUUGAUGGUGAAGUCUGAUUUCAACCCUGAGGCUCCCAUAUUGCAACAAGUGAUCCUCAGUAAAACCUGCCCCAACAACAGAGUGGUGACAUUGCGAUGUACUGAUUGUGGAAGUGGGGUGAACUCCAGCAGGGCCUCCAGGGGCCAGCUGGCC
Long non-coding RNA from Thunnus maccoyii (southern bluefin tuna), 178 nucleotides. RefSeq lists it as uncharacterized. The record is from RefSeq and is a predicted model, not a curated record. The transcript has 3 exons. Lineage: Eukaryota; Metazoa; Chordata; Actinopteri; Scombriformes; Scombridae.